RNAcentral lists this ribosomal RNA (683 nucleotides) under uncultured Bacteroidales bacterium. RNAcentral's name for it is "bacterial SSU rRNA". It matches the Rfam family "Bacterial small subunit ribosomal RNA", at positions 76 to 754 of the family's 1533-position model. The record is from RNAcentral. Lineage: Bacteria; Pseudomonadati; Bacteroidota; Bacteroidia; Bacteroidales.
CUUGCUAAGGCUGAUGGCGACCGGCGCACGGGUGAGUAACACGUAUCCAACCUGCCGUCUACUCUUGGCCAGCCUUCUGAAAGGAAGAUUAAUCCAGGAUGGCAUCAUGAGUUCACAUGUCCGCAUGAUUAAAGGUAUUUUCCGGUAGACGAUGGGGAUGCGUUCCAUUAGAUAGUAGGCGGGGUAACGGCCCACCUAGUCAACGAUGGAUAGGGGUUCUGAGAGGAAGGUCCCCCACAUUGGAACUGAGACACGGUCCAAACUCCUACGGGAGGCAGCAGUGAGGAAUAUUGGUCAAUGGGCGAUGGCCUGAACCAGCCAAGUAGCGUGAAGGAUGACUGCCCUAUGGGUUGUAAACUUCUUUUAUAAAGGAAUAAAGUCGGGUAUGCAUACCCGUUUGCAUGUACUUUAUGAAUAAGGAUCGGCUAACUCCGUGCCAGCAGCCGCGGUAAUACGGAGGAUCCGAGCGUUAUCCGGAUUUAUUGGGUUUAAAGGGAGCGUAGAUGGAUGUUUAAGUCAGUUGUGAAAGUUUGCGGCUCAACCGUAAAAUUGCAGUUGAUACUGGAUGUCUUGAGUGCAGUUGAGGCAGGCGGAAUUCGUGGUGUAGCGGUGAAAUGCUUAGAUAUCACGAAGAACUCCGAUUGCGAAGGCAGCCUGCUAAGCUGCAACUGACAUUGAGGCUC